CAUAUACUAUGAUAUUGGCCGGGCUCACUCAGAUGCGCACAUAUGCACUUGAAUAGUUAUGAACGGUGAGUCUGAUUGAGCCGCGCCAAUAUCUUAGUUUUGUUU
Molecule: non-coding RNA, 105 nt
Organism: Daucus carota subsp. sativus
Lineage: Eukaryota; Viridiplantae; Streptophyta; Magnoliopsida; Apiales; Apiaceae
Source: Rfam